UGUAAUUUAGUGUAUGAAGCACUAUGAUUUUUGAUGUCAUUAGAUUAAGUUUAAAUCUUAAAUUUACAA
RNAcentral lists this transfer RNA (69 nucleotides) under Metidiocerus sp. ZB-2019. RNAcentral's name for it is "tRNA-Gln". Lineage: Eukaryota; Metazoa; Arthropoda; Insecta; Hemiptera; Cicadellidae. The record is from RNAcentral.